Molecule: ribosomal RNA, 329 nt
Filed under: uncultured Butyrivibrio sp.
Lineage: Bacteria; Bacillati; Bacillota; Clostridia; Lachnospirales; Lachnospiraceae
Description: bacterial SSU rRNA
Rfam family: Bacterial small subunit ribosomal RNA
Source: RNAcentral
GAUGAACGCUGGCGGCGUGCCUAACACAUGCAAGUCGAACGGAGUUUAACGCUGAUGAAGCUUCGGCAGAUUCUUGUUAAACUUAGUGGCGGACGGGUGAGUAACGCGUGGGUAACCUGCCUCAUACAGGGGGAUAGCAGUUGGAAACGACUGAUAACACCGCAUAAGCGCACAGGAUCGCAUGAUCUGGUGUGAAAAUAUUUAUAGGUAUGAGAUGGACCCGCGUCUGAUUAGCUAGUUGGUGAGGUAACGGCCCACCAAGGCGACGAUCAGUAGCCGGCCUGAGAGGGCGGACGGCCACAUUGGGACUGAGACACGGCCCAAACUCC